AGGUCAUUGCUGCUGGGGUGACAUUGCUUAGAUACCAUUUUCUACCAUUUCUUGGGACAGAGUUAGAAAAGAGAGAUUUUAGAAAUCGUGAGGUCAUAUUUAUAAUUUUCCAUUUCAUUUUAACAUUACAGUAUUUUAAUUUUUCUUUGAUUUCACAAUUACAUCUUUUUUCCUAAACUGAAAAUCUCAUUUUUGACUUUAACAGAAUUACUUAUUUUGUUUUCUCCUACAAAGUGAAAGAAUAGUAUCAAAAUAACAAGAUAUUAUUAUUAACAAUAACUCUACAACGUUUACUGUAGUGAGAGAGCUAGUGAAGUGUGAAACGUCUUUAUAGUUCUUUUCAAUCCUACACAACAUCCCAGUGAAUAUGUAUAAAGUACAACACAUUUUUUUCUAUUAGUUAUGUUAACAAUUAGAUAUAUGGUUAGAUUCAUUUGUUAUGUGUUGUUUUCAAUUUUUAGGUAUUUUUUAAAGGUAACUUUUUGUUGACUUUUAUUUUGAAAUAAUUUCAGAUUUACAGAAAAAAUUAAAAAUAGUACAAAGAAAUCCCAUAUAUCCUUCACUCCAAUUCCUCAAAUAUUAAGAAUUUGUCAUACUUGCUUUAUUAUUUUCUUCUCUUUCUUUAUGUCUUUAUGCAUAUUUAAGCAUUUUUUUCCUGGUCCAUAUGAGAGUAAAUUGCUGAUGUAAUGCCCCUUUACCACUAAAUAUUUCCGUGUUGGUGUCCUGAGAAUAAGGACAUUUGUAUUCUGGUGCAGUGUUCAAUCGUGGAUCGCAGGUUGCAUUUCAUUGUCAUUCCUUGUGGUCUCCUGUAACCUCGGACAAUUCCUCAGUCUUUUCUUACUUUAGUGAUCUUCACAUUUUAGAAGAGAACGGGCCAUUUAUUUUAUAGAACAAUCCUUAAUUUGGGUUUGUCUUCUGUUUUCUCAUGAUUUGAUCUAUGAUAUGUAUUUUUCUCAAAGAAACAAGCCAAGAGAACUGUACAAGCGCUGUCGUGUCCUUCCUGUGCAUUGUGUCCUGAGGAACGUGGUGGCGUUUGUCCCAUCACAGCUUUGAUGAAGCAAUUGGCCAUGUUGGGGGUCCCAGGUGGUGAGGAACUGUGGGCCGCUUCCAGGACCUCCAGUACUCCAGCAAUAAGCCAUGGCCCUUGGUCAUACAGCUUCAAGGAAAUGAAAUCCACCAACAACUUGAGUGAGGAGUAGAUGGUUCCUUCCCCAGCUGAGCCACCAGAUGAGAGCCCCGCCCUGAUGGCGGCCUUGCAGAGAACCCAGCUAAGCUGUUCCUGGACUGCUGACCCACCAGGACUGUAAUAUAAUAGCUGCUAAUUAGUGGUAAUUUGUUAUGGAGC
RNAcentral lists this long non-coding RNA (1345 nucleotides) under Equus caballus (horse). Its description in RNAcentral is "lncRNA (ENSECAG00000055676.1)". Lineage: Eukaryota; Metazoa; Chordata; Mammalia; Perissodactyla; Equidae. The record is from RNAcentral.